This 64-nucleotide transfer RNA is filed under the name Limnadia lenticularis. Its description in RNAcentral is "tRNA-Arg". Lineage: Eukaryota; Metazoa; Arthropoda; Branchiopoda; Diplostraca; Limnadiidae. The record is from RNAcentral.
GGGUUAAAAGCGAAUUAUUGCGUUUAGUUUCGACCUAAAAGUUGGCUGUAGAAGUCUUAACCCG